GAUGAACGCUGGCGGCGUGCCUAAUACAUGCAAGUCGAGCGAACAGACGAGGAGCUUGCUCCUCUGACGUUAGCGGCGGACGGGUGAGUAACACGUGGAUAACCUACCUAUAAGACUGGGAUAACUUCGGGAAACCGGAGCUAAUACCGGAUAAUAUAUUGAACCGCAUGGUUCAAUAGUGAAAGACGGUUUUGCUGUCACUUAUAGAUGGAUCCGCGCCGCAUUAGCUAGUUGGUAAGGUAACAGCUUACCAAGGCAACGAUGCGUAGCCGACCUGAGAGGGUGAUCGGCCACACUGGAACUGAGACACGGUCCAGACUCCUACGGGAGGCAGCAGUAGGGAAUCUUCCGCAAUGGGCGAAAGCCUGACGGAGCAACGCCGCGUGAGUGAUGAAGGUCUUCGGAUCGUAAAACUCUGUUAUUAGGGAAGAACAAAUGUGUAAGUAACUAUGCACGUCUUGACGGUACCUAAGCAGAAAGCCACGGCUAACUACGU
This 496-nucleotide ribosomal RNA is filed under the name uncultured bacterium. RNAcentral's name for it is "partial 16S ribosomal RNA". It matches the Rfam family "Bacterial small subunit ribosomal RNA", at positions 28 to 506 of the family's 1533-position model. The record is from RNAcentral.